ACGCUCGACACCUACGGUAGGCAGCAGUCGGGAAUAUUGCGCAAUGGAGGAAACUCUGACGCAGUGACGCCGCGUGCAGGAAGAAGGUUUUCGGAUUGUAAACUGCUUUAGACAGGGAAGAAAGAAAUGACAGUACCUGUAGAAUAAGCUCCGGCUAACUACGUGCAAGCAGCCGCGGUAAUCUGAGCGGGCUGGCAAGGC
This 201-nucleotide ribosomal RNA is filed under the name uncultured bacterium. RNAcentral's name for it is "partial 16S ribosomal RNA". It matches the Rfam family "Bacterial small subunit ribosomal RNA", at positions 326 to 539 of the family's 1533-position model. The record is from RNAcentral.